CCAAUGUGGAUACCUUGGGAGGUUACUCUUCCAGACUCUGUCCAGGUGGCAUACGGAAGCAUAAGGCUCUGCCCCAAGACGGGCAAUCCUUUUCCACGACAUUGGAGAUAAGCCUGUCCCUUGAAUUUGUACCUACAUAUUCCUAUGGCUUCUCAGAGCCCUAUAGAUAAUGACUGAGGAGACAAAUCAUUCAGGAAACAUCU
Pipistrellus kuhlii (Kuhl's pipistrelle) is the source of this 203-nucleotide small nucleolar RNA. RefSeq annotates it as small nucleolar RNA SNORA73 family. Lineage: Eukaryota; Metazoa; Chordata; Mammalia; Chiroptera; Vespertilionidae. The record is from RefSeq and is a predicted model, not a curated record. The transcript has a single exon.